ACGGAUUAAGGCCACAUGUGAAAGCCAACUGCAAGAGAUACAGCUAGAUUCCCCCAAAGUUCAGCUGCAAAGACUACUGUUUUAGACUCCUCAGUCUCCUUGACCUUCAUCCCAGUCUGAUCUAUCUUGCAGUAGACUCUCAGCUCAAUCCUGCACUAAUUCUCCUCCCAAAGCACUCAAUGGGUCAAUCUUCAAAUUUCAGAAGCAACUCAGGAUAUCAAAAAACAAAUCCAAAUUCUUUAUUCUGGCAUUAAAAUCCGUCAUUAAUUUCCUUCAGUCUUCUUUUCUACUCUUCUCUCUGUUACAAAGUCUAUACUAUUUAUCUCCACUAUCUCCUGAGAUCAUCAGGCUCAGCCCUUGGCUCAACUUUGUUCUCUCUCCCUAGAAUAUUCUUCUGUCUCCUUUUAUUUAUCUCUACCUUCCUUCAAGAUCUAGGUCAAAUCUCUAUCCUCCAUGAAGCCUUCCCCAGCCACAUCAAUCAUGGUCCCUUCCUGACUGCCCAGAGCUCUGACUGUCUGCACUACAUCCUCUAAAAUCAUAGCAAAGUACCAGGCACAACGUCAAGGAAAUAAGAUUCAGGACCUUCUCCUUGAGAUCAAAGGAAUCCUCAGGCUAUCCCUCAUCUCACUCACAGUUAAUCCCUAAGCCUGGAAUGAGGCAGCUAGGUGGCAGUGGAGAUAGCAUUUAUCCUGGAAUCAUGAAGAGGAUACUGGCAUGUCAGAGAACUUUUUCUAUCUAUUCUUCAUUGACAAAAGGGCCUGACGCUCUGUUUGCAGCAGAUUUGAGGAGCCUCAUUGGAUCAUAAGCUCAAGUCAACCAUCAUAAAUCUCAGGGCCUGUGUCUACAUGAGGCCAAAAAGCACUUUAUUUUUGGAGUACUUAUUAAGCUGCUUAGAAGUCAUUUCAACCUGCUAUUCCAGCUUCGUUUAACUGGUGAUCAAACAGGGCAGUUUUUUUUUGUUUGUUUGUUUGUUUUUUGGUGGGAAGGAAGAGGAGAGGAGAGGAGAUAAUGCUCUAAUCUUGAAUAGAUUUUUAAAAGUGCAGAAGACUUGCUGGCCAUUGUAGAAAUAGAACUGGGGGAAUGGUGGGUAAUUUUUACUAAUGUCAAAUGGGCAGUUUUCUGUGGAAACCUACAAAAGGGAAACAAAAACAGGCCUGAAUGAAAAUAGAUAAACUAAAACUUUCCUAGGAAUACAAGAAAAGGAAUUCACUUCAUUUAAAAAAAUAUUUUGAAUUUUUGACAGAUAUCAAGAGAGGAUAGUAACAGCCCAAUUCAUUUGUGAAAGGAGGCUAAGUGGCACAAUAGAUGGGACUUGGAGUUAAGACUCUUGAGUUUGAAUGUUUUUCCAGUCAGUUAAUAAACUUUGUG
This 1368-nucleotide long non-coding RNA is filed under the name Monodelphis domestica (gray short-tailed opossum). RNAcentral describes it as "lncRNA (ENSMODG00000042366.1)". The record is from RNAcentral. Lineage: Eukaryota; Metazoa; Chordata; Mammalia; Didelphimorphia; Didelphidae.